AAAGACAGCCGUGAAAGGAACAGCCUGUAAAUAUAGCAGACAUGGGAAGAAACAAUUGGAAGGGAAAAUCUGUGACACCACGGUACUUAUAAAGUCAUAAGAAGUACCCAGAAUGCUACUCACAGCUAUGAAAAAUUCAUAACUUUCUGUCAUAAGGACUGGGUUUUUCGUAACCUGUGUCAUCAUAGCUAUGAGUGAAUUGGUUACAGCUGACUUCGCUACUUGCUAGAAAUAGCAGACAUGCACAUGAAAUAUACAUUAAUUGAUAGAAAAAAGGAUUAAAAGGUAAAAUUAUAUAUUACAUAGCUUUUUAUGUAACAAUUACGCUGUAUCUCUUUUAAAUAAAGAAAAUUAUUGCUUAAAACAAGAUAUGCCGCCAGAGGGCAGCCUCAAACGUAAACAAUAACAAUAAACAAGCAGUCGUCACUCCAGCGCCACGUUUGUAUCACCUCGGUCCACACAACCACCACCAAUAACAACAACAUGGACACAACCGGCCCUGCUGCAGUCACCCUAAGACAGGAAAACCUAAUUGGUCUGUAGAUACUGCCAUGCUUUGUGUUCAGUUGUUAGAAAAUAAAAUAAACAUGAGUGCAGAAGAGGGCUGCUGUUGGAGACCUGAUUUUCUUGCAUCUGGUGUGGCCUGCUGAUCAGGUCAGAUGUAGGAAAGGGGGACCAGGCUAUUAUGGUGCAGUGGUAAACCAGUUUUGCUGCCAAGUCUGAUGCAGAGAGAAUCUGCCGUGUGACUGACCCUCCUGCAGGAGUGUGACAUCUUGGAGUGAGAAUCUUUGUCAGUAUUCCAGAAGCAGCACCACCACUAAUUCACCCCCACUAGUUCAAGCCAUGAGCUGCCACUGCUGCCACCAUACUGGCACCUCUCUCACCAGCCACACCUGGACACAUCAACAUCAUCUGCUCCUCCUGUUUGCCAUGCACACACUCAGUGACAUAAUCAGCUGAAUUGCUCCACCUGCCACUCUGCUCCUGUUCAGGUAUUCCAGUUCCUGGUAUCACCAUUCAUCACAGUGAUCAAGGCUUGGAUCUGCUUGUGCAACCUUUGUUAAAUUUAUUGUACCUCAGUCUAUACUAGCCAUACUGGCAGGUCAAGCCUUGCACCAACACAUUGCAUAAUACAAUAUAUAAAAAAUUCGUAUGAUUAACCUCAAAGCUACUAUCAGAACUUACCUCUUCUGGAAGAGAAGAGAUUGUGGCAGCCAAGGUGUCUGAGGCUCCCACAGUCUCUGGGAGAUAAAGCGUGCGGGACAGUAAGAGCAGUGAUGGUGGCACCUUUUCUUGCAGGCUCAACUCCAGCCACUGAGUUAGUUGCAGGCGGAGUCGCUCUUCUGACAGACCAUAAGCUCUCAUGCCUCUGGCACGACAUGCUUGCUGAAGUUCCCAUACUGCUAAGGAAUCCAGUCCUUCUCUUUCAAUGAUCUGUCAACAGGUACAUCUUGGUGGUAAACAUCUCUUGAGAUAAAAUGCCUCAAGCUUUGUACUUUAAGUAUGUGAUCCUGAGUUUUCUUCUCCAUAUUUUACAUACAAAUUUAUCAAUAACUCUAAGCAGCUUUCGAUUCUAUGUGAAUGGCUAAAUGCACUGAACAAAAGGGCAUCAUAAGCAAUUCAAAACUGAUUUCAGACAGUGAAAAGCAAGAUGGUAUUACAAGUAACAAAUAGAUGAAAUGAAAUCAUGUACAAAUGUUUACAAACCAUCACUUCAAUUAAAAACCUGGUAAGACAAGAUUGCUUUUUUUUUUUUUUUUGUCAAAUGUAUGAAGAUCUUGAAACAUUACCUUAUCAUCAGCUGCUAGUGAUCUCAACUUCAGCCUUAGUUGAAACCUUAGGAAGUUAUUGGUGCCAAAGGGUUGCAUCUCCAGUAGACGGCAGAGAGCAACCAGUUGUGGUCUUGUCAUGGAGUCCAGUGUAAUUUCAUCUUCAAACAACUUACUGAACUUCAAAAUUUCCUCAUUGCUAGCUUGUUCUCCAGAUUUAGUGAUCUGCAGAGAAACCCUUACUUAUAUGACUUGUCACUUUUCCACACACACACACACACACACACACACACACACACACACACACACACACACACACACACACACACACACACACACACACACACACACACACACACACACACACACACACACACUUCCACAGCUUUUCUCCUUGAGAAUGCUCACUCUCACCAUCAACUAACCUUUUCAAAGAAGGAAACAAACUCCUUGGCACUUUCUGAGCUGCGACCUUUUGCCUCAACCGCCAUGCUGUCCAACGUCUGCUGUAGGAAUUUUGCCAUCUCCAGUUUCAUCUUUAAUUUCUUUUUCAUUUUUGCUUCCUAAAGACAGAAUCAAAAUGUAAAAACACUAUUAAUAAGGUCACUGUAUUUGCUGGCAUAUAAGAAUCACAGCUGCAUAAGGCACAUUCCUAUUUACUAUUUUUUUUUUUUUUUUUUUUUUGAGAUUACAAAAAAUUGCUAUUUUGGAGAAGACACUGUUUUGUUGUUUACUGGAUGUCUUUCUGCCAUGGGGUUCAAACACUGAAAAAAUUAUACUGUUUGAAAUGUGAGGGAAACACUGCUAGGUAACCUGACUCAGUCAUGUUUUGAUGCAGGAUGAGCUAUGAAUUGAGUUAAUAUAAGAAACUGGGACUAUUUUGUUGCCUAUGCCACUUAGCUAGAUAUGCAUAGUGAAAGGUAUGCAUUUGUUACUCUUCCACCAAGUGUCUGAACUUUGUUUUACAUUUGCAGUGAAAAUAUUAAGGCAAUACUUUAAGCAAACAACUCUGUUAAGUAGUUACAACAGCUGUGUGAGUGUGUGGUCUGUUUAUAUUUUUCUUUAUUAUGGUGCUGACAGAAUACAAAAUAAAUUUUUUUUUUCCA
Long non-coding RNA from Scylla paramamosain (green mud crab), 2875 nucleotides. RefSeq lists it as uncharacterized. NCBI's taxonomy places the organism in Eukaryota, Metazoa, Arthropoda, Malacostraca, Decapoda, Portunidae. The transcript has 5 exons. The record is from RefSeq and is a predicted model, not a curated record.